ACGUAAACGAACGCAUAACGUAUAUAAGCACAUACGAAAGGUUGAUUUGGUGUGCCUGUUGGUGGAACUGAGCUUCCCCCGGUCACCCAGCGCUGUUUUGCCUAAUUACCGCUUGCUAAAUAAAAUCGAUUGAUUGACGCAGAAUCGAUUUAUUGGCUCUUAUUUAUAACAAAUUUUGGUGCCGUGACUCGGAUUAAGGAUCUCUGGGAGGGACUCUUAAACUUCAGGGAGGCGCCCCGUCCCGUUUUCAGACGGCCCUGGAGUGGACAGAGGAUUGCCCUGAAACCUUAACCUCCGAACCCUAAAUUUAGGUAAUUAGGCAAAAGAAUUGAACCCCUUAAACCUUUGUGCACGAAGAACCGGACGAAGACCCCAGGGAGGAUAUCACAGUCUGCACCGCGGAAAGAGGAUGGACACACGCUAAUCGAGUAAAAGGUCCUAUACUGCACACAGACUGGGAAGUCACUGGGAAACUGGAUGAGUUGAAGCUGACCUUCAAGAGGAAACAGACACGUGACGCAUAGCCCUGGAUACUAGGCUUUUUAUGGACAAUUGUAAGGAAUUACAUAAGUCGCACAUCGCAUGUCCUGUAUGUAAGCAAUGCAAUCCGUGGGUAUGUCGUGUGUGUCACGGGUGCGGGAUACAGCAGUGAAAAAAAGUUUCCUUAUGUUGAACGAUGGUGUAAUGAGUGUUGGGAAAAAAAACCUUAGAUACCAUUAGGAUAUUAAUAAUCACUGAUAAGUCCAGACAUUUGGGAAAUAACCAAGAGGAAGUGUAAGAAGCGUUUUGGUAAGAAAAGAUACAGGAAGUGUUCCAAACCCUGUAAGGAUUCGGGACAGUGGCCAAACCCUUGUAUUUGAAAAUAGCCCUAUUGGGUUCAAUAUUGGAAAGUGGGUUGUGACAGAACAAGGAGAGAAUUCAGGAGGCAGUCCCCUGAAGACUACAACUGCUGCCGAGAAGAUAACUUAUCCGGCUACUCUGAAGCAACAGAGUAGGCCCAGGGCAAGGCAGAGGGGUAUCCUUGUGGGGAUUGGCAAGUGCCUCCAAAGACUUCUAAAAUAAAGCAGCUCCUUAAGCAGAACAACCCUCAACAAAAUGAACCUCCACUGGCUGAUUUUCAGCCAGCCAGGGGCCGGGUUGCUCUCCCUAAUCCUCCUUACCUUACCGGUAAUAAUAGCAAUAAAGCAGGGGAGUUCUCACCAACCUUUUAAAUGGACCCUCUAUCGAUGGGAGGACCAAACGAUAAUACAACAACAGACCACAUCAGGGUCACCUUCUUUUACUGUAACCUUAUGCCAAUUAGUUCAGAUUGAGCCAUACCUUAACAAAAUGGGGUUUUAUAUGUGCCCCAGCACAGGGCCCUCGUAUUGUAAUACUCCAGGACACUAUUACUGCUCUUACUGGGGGUGUGAAAUGAUUGCCUCAAGCUGGCCAAUUCCUCCGGCAAAUACUGAUAAGUUCUUAAAGGUUGGAUGGGGACCUGUAGGAUGCAUUCCUCCUUCGAACCAAGGCCGCCGACUAAAACUCGGUUAUCCUCGCAACCGAAACGAGCGGGACAGUGAUGGCAAGUAUGAAUAUAUAUUCCUUAACAUAACAAACCCUGAACAUAGUGGAUGGUUUGUUAGAAAAACCUGGGGAAUGCGAUAUUAUCGACCGGGUGCUGAUAGAGGAAGCAUGUUUCUCAUAAAGAAAGAAGAAGUUAAACCGACCCCUCUAGGUAGGGAGACAAAGACAGUAGAGAAGGAGAAUAUAAUAGUAAUAGAGGAAACUGUCACUGAAGCCUUGAAAUCUCUGAAUAUUGAAGCCCCGGAAUCUUUGAAUCCUCUAUGGGGAAUUAUUCUGGCUGCUUAUCAAACUCUAAACUAUACUCAACCCAACUUAACCAUGGGUUGCUGGUUGUGUUAUAAUGUUAAUCCACCCUUUUAUGAAGCUAUAUGGGAUAAUCGUCGGUAUACCAUAAACAAGGAGUCUAUGCCUAUUCAAUGUCCCUGGGAAAAGCAGAAAAGAGGGAUAACUAUGCAACAUGUAACUGGAAUAGGGACUUGUACAGGUAAAGUACCAAAUUCCAAGAGACCACUUUGUGGGAAUAUCAUACCAAGCCUUAAUAAAACCACAGGAUAUAUUAUUCCCCCUAAUAGAACAAAAUGGAUAUGUUCCAGGACGGGACUUACUCCAUGUGUGUCUUUAAAAGUGUUUAACAGUUCCCGAGAGUAUUGCAUGUCAGUUACUAUAAUUCCAAGGAUAUUAUAUCAUCAAGAAGAUGUGAUGUAUCCUAAAUCGAUUUAUUGGACUAGUUAAAAACCGUGUAGAGCGGGUACACCUUAUGCUGCUACAGAAACAUGGAACUGAUGAAGAAGCUGAAAUGACCUUACUAGCCCGAAAAGCGGUAACUCGAUUUGAUCAACAAAUAAAUGAGUAAAAAAAAAAAAAAAA
This is a long non-coding RNA of Columba livia (rock pigeon), 2433 nucleotides long. RefSeq lists it as uncharacterized. The record is from RefSeq and is a predicted model, not a curated record. The transcript is spliced from 2 exons. Lineage: Eukaryota; Metazoa; Chordata; Aves; Columbiformes; Columbidae.